RNAcentral lists this transfer RNA (88 nucleotides) under Salibacteraceae bacterium. Its description in RNAcentral is "tRNA-Ser". It matches the Rfam family "tRNA". From Rfam's summary of the family: Transfer RNA (tRNA) molecules are approximately 80 nucleotides in length. The record is from RNAcentral. Lineage: Bacteria; Pseudomonadati; Bacteroidota; Flavobacteriia; Flavobacteriales; Salibacteraceae.
GGAGAAUUGGCAGAGUGGUCGAAUGCACUAGUCUUGAAAACUAGCGUACCGCAAGGUACCGAGAGUUCGAAUCUCUCAUUCUCCGCCA